GGAUGACACUUUUCGGAGCGUAAACUCCUUUUAUCAGGAAAGAAUAAUGACGGUACCUGAUGAAUAAGCACCGGCUAACUCCGUGCCAGCAGCCGCGGUAAUACGGGGGGUGCAAGCGUUACUCGGAAUCACUGGGCGUAAAGGACGCGUAGGCGGAUUAUCAAGUCUUUUGUGAAAUCUAGUGGCUUAACCACUAAACUGCUUAGGAAACUGAUAGUCUAGAGUAGGGGAGAGGUAGAUAGAAUUCUUGGUGUAGGGGUAAAAUCCGUAGAGAUCAAGAAGAAUACCCAUUGCGAAAGCGAUCUGCUGGAACCUAACUGACGCUGAGGCGUGAAAGCGUGGGUAGCAAACAGGAUUAGAUACCCUGGUAGUCCACGCCCUAAACGAUGUAUACUAGUUGUUGCUUUGCUAGUCAAGGCAGUAAUGCAGCUAACGCAUUAAGUAUACCGCCUGGGGAGUACGGUCGCAAGAUUAAAACUCAAAGGAAUAGACGGGGACCCGCACAAGCGGUGGAGCAUGUGGUUUAAUUCGAAGAUACGCGAAGAACCUUACCUGGACUUGACAUCCUAAAAACAUCUAAGAGAUUAGAAAGUGCUAGUUUACUAGAAUUUAGUGACAGGUGCUGCACGGCUGUCGUCAGCUCGUGUCGUGAGAUGUUGGGUUAAGUCCCGCAACGAGCGCAACCCACGUGUUUAGUUGCUAACAGCUCGGCUGAGCACUCUAAACAGACUGCCUUCGUAAGGAGGAGGAAGGUGUGGACGACGUCAAGUCAUCAUGGCCCUUAUGUCCAGGGCGACACACGUGCUACAAUG
RNAcentral lists this ribosomal RNA (812 nucleotides) under uncultured Campylobacter sp. Its description in RNAcentral is "bacterial SSU rRNA". It matches the Rfam family "Bacterial small subunit ribosomal RNA", at positions 406 to 1232 of the family's 1533-position model. The record is from RNAcentral. Lineage: Bacteria; Pseudomonadati; Campylobacterota; Epsilonproteobacteria; Campylobacterales; Campylobacteraceae.